This 326-nucleotide ribosomal RNA is filed under the name uncultured bacterium. Its description in RNAcentral is "bacterial SSU rRNA". It matches the Rfam family "Bacterial small subunit ribosomal RNA", at positions 28 to 334 of the family's 1533-position model. The record is from RNAcentral.
GAUGAACGCUGGCGGCGUGCUUAACACAUGCAAGUCGAACGAAGCAUCCAAGAUUGAGACUUCGGUGGAUAGAUUGGAUGACUGAGUGGCGGACGGGUGAGUAACGCGUGGGCAACCUGCCUCGUACAGGGGGAUAACGCAUCGAAAGAUGUGCUAAUACCGCGUAAGACCACAGCAUCGCAUGGUGCAGGGGUCAAAGGAGCAAUCCGGUGGAAGAUGGGCUCGCGUCCGAUUAGCUAGUUGGUGAGAUAACAGCCCACCAAGGCGACGAUCGGUAGCCGACCUGAGAGGGUGAUCGGCCACAUUGGAACUGAGAGACGGUCCAG